Molecule: unclassified non-coding RNA, 337 nt
Filed under: soil metagenome
Description: partial contains 5.8S ribosomal RNA, internal transcribed spacer 2, and large subunit ribosomal RNA
Rfam family: 5.8S ribosomal RNA (bases 1-120)
Source: RNAcentral
GAUGAAGAACGCAGCGAAAUGCGAUAAGUAGUGUGAAUUGCAGAAUUCAGUGAAUCAUCGAAUCUUUGAACGCACAUUGCGCCCCUUGGUAUUCCAUGGGGCAUGCCUGUUCGAGCGUCAUUUGUACCUUCAAGCUCUGCUUGGUGUUGGGUGUUUGUCUCGCCUCUGCGUGUAGACUCGCCUUAAAACAAUUGGCAGCCGGCGUAUUGAUUUCGGAGCGCAGUACAUCUCGCGCUUUGCACUCAUAACGACGACGUCCAAAAGUACAUUUUUACACUCUUGACCUCGGAUCAGGUAGGGAUACCCGCUGAACUUAAGCAUAACAAUAAGCGGAGGA